Molecule: ribosomal RNA, 54 nt
Filed under: Salmonella enterica subsp. enterica serovar Tennessee
Lineage: Bacteria; Pseudomonadati; Pseudomonadota; Gammaproteobacteria; Enterobacterales; Enterobacteriaceae
Also listed under: 2 other names
Description: partial 16S ribosomal RNA
Source: RNAcentral
UUAAAUUGAAGAGUUUGAUCAUGGCUCAGAUUGAACGCUGGCGGCAGGCCUAAC